Molecule: unclassified non-coding RNA, 238 nt
Filed under: uncultured fungus
Lineage: Eukaryota; Fungi
Description: partial contains 5.8S ribosomal RNA, internal transcribed spacer 2, and large subunit ribosomal RNA
Rfam family: 5.8S ribosomal RNA (bases 1-52)
Source: RNAcentral
AACGCACAUUGCGCCCUCUGGUAUUCCGGGGGGCAUGCCUGUUCGAGCGUCAUUACAACCCUCAAGCUCUGCUUGGUAUUGGGUGCCACCUCUGGGUGCGCCUCAAAAACAGUGGCGGUGCCAUUCGGCUUCAAGCGUAGUAAAUUCUCUCGCUCAGGAGUCCGGGUGGCCACCUGCCAAAACCCCCAAUUUUUACAAGGUUGACCUCGGAUCAGGUAGGGAUACCCGCUGAACUUAA